Molecule: ribosomal RNA, 342 nt
Filed under: Triticum aestivum (bread wheat)
Lineage: Eukaryota; Viridiplantae; Streptophyta; Magnoliopsida; Poales; Poaceae
Description: partial small subunit ribosomal RNA
Source: RNAcentral
AUGGAGGAGCACCACAGGUUGCUCCACCUUUGUCGCCUCUCAAGUCCCAACCCACCUCCGUCGCCUCACCUAAUCCCCACCAAAGCUCCACCCUCGGCGAGCCAAAUCAAGGAUGACCAGGGCAAGUUCCUGCCUCCACCGCAUCAGAGGCUUCACCGCGGGUCCGUGGCCACCUUGGCCAAGCCCGGUGCUGCACGCCGCUGUUGCCUUUCUGCUGACGGGCCGCUGUUGCCUCUCCCUGUUUCCCCUGCAAAGCUUCCCCUAUGUGUCCUCACCCUCUGCCUCAUCUCAGUCUCUCGGGGCACGCUCUCCCUGUCCUUCUUCCCUCGUUCUUCCACCUGA